UUUGAUGGCAAGCUCUGACAAAUAAGAAGAUCAAAUACCAAUGAACAAUGUAUCCACUCCACCAGUAUUUUUUUUAUUCUAUGCAAUAUCUAUCAAAGAACGGCUAUACAGCGCGGGUUGAUUGCUAGUAAACAUAGUUUAUCAUUAGAAUUAUAUUAUCAUAUUCUCCUUAUACUUGUUCUUACAAGAGAAAAUAAUAAUUAAUAUCAUAAUAUUAUAUGAUGAUAUAUAUUAUACAUAGUUAUAAUAUAACAAUAUAAUACAAUUUUAAAAUAAAAAUAUAUUAUUACCAUAAUAUGAUAAUAAUUAUUAUAAUAUCUUUUACUAUAAGGUAAUAUCUAAUAUGAUAUUAUAAUAUAUAUUAUUAUAUAUUAUAAU
RNAcentral lists this long non-coding RNA (378 nucleotides) under Phoenix dactylifera (date palm). Its description in RNAcentral is "long non-coding RNA (PDAC_LNC004546)". The record is from RNAcentral. Lineage: Eukaryota; Viridiplantae; Streptophyta; Magnoliopsida; Arecales; Arecaceae.